AACGCGAAGAACCUUACCUACUCUAGACAUCCACGGAAUUCGGCAGAGAUGCCUUAGUGCCUUCGGGAACCGUGAGACAGGUGCUGCAUGGCUGUCGUCAGCUCGUGUUGUGAAAUGUUGGGUUAAGUCCCGCAACGAGCGCAACCCUUAUCCUUUGUUGCCAGCGAGUAAUGUCGGGAACUCAAAGGAGACUGCCAGUGACAAACUGGAGGAAGGUGGGGAUGACGUCAAGUCAUCAUGGCCCUUACGAGUAGGGCUACACACGUGCUACAAUGGCGUAUACAAAGAGAAGCGAACUCGCGAGAGCAAGCGGACCUCAUAAAGUACGUCGUAGUCCGGAUCGGAGUCUGCAACUCGACUCCGGAAGUCGGAAUCGCUAGUAAUCGUAGAUCAGAAUCCU
This 400-nucleotide ribosomal RNA is filed under the name uncultured bacterium. RNAcentral describes it as "bacterial SSU rRNA". It matches the Rfam family "Bacterial small subunit ribosomal RNA", at positions 958 to 1358 of the family's 1533-position model. The record is from RNAcentral.